Non-coding RNA from Equus caballus (horse), 391 nucleotides. The record is from RefSeq and is a predicted model, not a curated record. NCBI's taxonomy places the organism in Eukaryota, Metazoa, Chordata, Mammalia, Perissodactyla, Equidae.
AACUCAGAUUAUGCGGAGGCUCUGACUGUGGCUCUCAAUCUUAGACUGUUACUAGAGAUAACAAAUCAUUCCCAGUCACAUCAUUCUAUUUAGAUUCAUGACUGAUUCCUUUCUGCCUUCUAAUUCCAUAACGCUCUGAGGAUGACUAAGGCAACGAUGAUUCCGGUGAGCCAACAUUAGGUAUCCUGUCCUCUGGCAACAGAAGCCCAAGUGUCUGAUGAAUCAGGGAAGAAGAAUUUAAAUAUAAUAAAACUACCUCAGUUUGCAUCCAGUGACCUGAAACCAGACUUUUAUAGACAGAGUCGUAGCAUGUGAGAAUCAGAAGGAAGAAAAUCCAUAGAUGCCGUAGUGCUGGCCCGGAGCUGGGUGUCUUUCGGGACAAAGAGUUCUC